GAUGAACGCUAGCGGCAGGCUUAAUACAUGCAAGUCGUGGGGCAGCACAGUCCGCCGAAAGGCGGAUGGGUGGCGACCGGCAAACGGGUGCGGAACACGUACGCAACCUUCCUACAGGCGGGGAAUAGCCCAGAGAAAUUUGGAUUAAUACCCCAUAAAAUUUUAAGAUGGCAUCAUCUUAUUAUUAAAGCUUCGGCACCUGAAGAUGGGCGUGCGGCUGAUUAGGUAGNGGCGGGGUAACGGCCCACCAAGCCUGCGAUCAGUAGCUGAUGUGAGAGCAUGAUCAGCCACACGGGCACUGAGACACGGGCCCGACUCCUAGGGAGCAGCAGUAAGGAUAUUGGUCAAUGGACGCAAGUCUGAACCAGCCAUGCCGCGUGGAGGAU
Molecule: ribosomal RNA, 386 nt
Filed under: uncultured bacterium
Lineage: Bacteria
Description: bacterial SSU rRNA
Rfam family: Bacterial small subunit ribosomal RNA
Source: RNAcentral